UGCAGUCGAGCGAGAUCUUCGGAUCUAGCGGCGGACGGGUUAGUAACGCGUGGGAACGUACCCAAAGGUAGGGAAUAGCCACUGGAAACGGUGAGUAAUACCCUAUGUGCCCUUCGGGGGAAAGAUUUAUCGCCUUUGGAUCGGCCCGCGUUAGAUUAGAUAGUUGGUGGGGUAACGGCCUACCAAGUCUACGAUCUAUAGCUGGUUUUAGAGGAUGAUCAGCAACACUGGGACUGAGACACGGCCCAGACUCCUACGGGAGGCAGCAGUGGGGAAUCUUAGACAAUGGGCGAAAGCCUGAUCUAGCCAUGCCGCGUGUGUGAUGAAGGCCCUAGGGUCGUAAAGCACUUUCGCCAGAGAUGAUAAUGACAGUAUCUGGUAAAGAAACCCCGGCUAACUCCGUGCCAGCAGCCGCGGUAAUACGGAGGGGGUUAGCGUUGUUCGGAAUUACUGGGCGUAAAGCGUACGUAGGCGGAUUAGUAAGUUAGGGGUGAAAUCCCGAGGCUCAACCUCGGAACUGCCUCUAAAACUGCUAGUCUUGAGUUCGAGAGAGGUGAGUGGAAUUCCGAGUGUAGAGGUGAAAUUCGUAGAUAUUCGGAGGAACACCAGUGGCGAAGGCGGCUCACUG
Molecule: ribosomal RNA, 628 nt
Filed under: uncultured bacterium
Lineage: Bacteria
Description: bacterial SSU rRNA
Rfam family: Bacterial small subunit ribosomal RNA
Source: RNAcentral